Brassica napus (rape) is the source of this 903-nucleotide long non-coding RNA. RefSeq lists it as uncharacterized. The record is from RefSeq and is a predicted model, not a curated record. The transcript is spliced from 2 exons. NCBI's taxonomy places the organism in Eukaryota, Viridiplantae, Streptophyta, Magnoliopsida, Brassicales, Brassicaceae.
GAGCUAACUAGCCUGGGACUCAACAUUUUUAGAAGGGGCUCUCUCUCUCUCUUAUCUCUCUCAAAUCUUUGAGAGAGAGAGAGUAUCUUCUCCCUUUGAUCUCCGGAGAUCUUUCCGGCGACCUUGAAACCCUUCGUUUUGUGCUUAUGUUCCGGCACACGGUGGCUCCUCAUGCACGGUGUGGCCGGCUCUCGACUCCGGCGGUCUCUCCUUUCUCUUCGGUGAUGCCGUCCGGCUACUGACUCCGGCGUCGUACUUGUCCUUUCGGUCACGGCUGCUGGCUCUUACUCCGGGUUAUCCCGGAUUGUUUGGCUUCAUCAUGAUCUACGAUUCGAGUUUCUUGUUCAUUCAUUUGAGCUUCGAUCUUGGGAUGAUUGUUCUUCCUCUCCUUUUGUUAAGGUUUUUGCAUCUUCAAGCUUAUUCUCAUCAUAAAAGACGCCUGGUUUUAAUGUCGAGGUUAAUCGGAUCCUUGGAGAACGUUCGUUUGCAAAUGGAUCUCUUAUCUAUUCGUAGAUCCGUCGGCUUGAGUCUUCUCUACGACGGGUGCUCGUUGUUGAGCCACUUUCCCAUCAUCGUGUGAUUGAGUUCUCUCUCCUGAUGAUUGGACUCCGAGUUUCUUUUCCUCUUUUCCUGUCUCCGAUGUGUUUCCGGUGGAAAGCCGAUGGGAAUCCGGUGAUAACUUUCCAGUCGCUGAAGCAAAGUGAUGGUUCAUCUUCUCGAUGCGUGUCCUCUCGUGACUCCUGUGUAACACGCGUGGAAGCUUAGGAACCGCACUGUCUUCCUAUGGACUUAUUUUGAUGUUGGAUCUUCUGGGAUUCUUUGUAAUUUUCUCUGUUUGUCUUGUUGGACCUUUCGUUGUAAUAUUUCUGUUUUGUUAAUAAUAUCAGUGACAAAAAAAAACUA